Molecule: ribosomal RNA, 563 nt
Filed under: uncultured bacterium
Lineage: Bacteria
Description: bacterial SSU rRNA
Rfam family: Bacterial small subunit ribosomal RNA
Source: RNAcentral
CCUACGGGAGGCAGCAGUGGGGAAUAUUGGACAAUGGGCGCAAGCCUGAUCCAGCAAUGCCGCGUGAGUGAUGAAGGCCUUAGGGUUGUAAAGCUCUUUCGGCGGGGACGAUGAUGACGGUACCCGCAGAAGAAGCCCCGGCUAACUUCGUGCCAGCAGCCGCGGUAAUACGUAGGGGGCGAGCGCUGUCCGGAUUCAUUGGGCGUAAAGAGCUCGUAGGCGGCUUGGUAAGUCAAAUGUGAAACCUCCAGGCUCAACUUGGAGAUGCCACUUGAUACUGCCAUGGCUAGAGUCCGGUAGGGGAUCACGGAAUUCCUGGUGUAGCGGUGAAAUGCGUAGAUAUCUGCAGGAACACCCGUGGCGAAAGCGGCGCGCUGGACCGUUACUGACGCUGAGGAACGAAAGCCAGGGGAGCAAACGGGAUUAGAUACCCCGGUAGUCCACGCCGUAAACGAUGGGUGCUAGGUGUCACGGGCUUUGACUCCUGUGGUGCCGUAGCCAACGCAUUAAGCACCCCGCCUGGGAAGUACGGCCGCAAGGCUAAAACUCAAAGGAAUUGACGG